Rana temporaria (common frog) is the source of this 1330-nucleotide long non-coding RNA. RefSeq lists it as uncharacterized. The record is from RefSeq and is a predicted model, not a curated record. The transcript is spliced from 3 exons. Lineage: Eukaryota; Metazoa; Chordata; Amphibia; Anura; Ranidae.
AGAGGUGUUGGAUGGAGGGGAGCAUUCAUCGGGGCUCAGAGGUGUUGGACAGGAGAGAGCCUUCAGCAGGGCUCAGAGGUGUUGGAUGGAGGGGAGCAUUCAUCAGGGCUCAGAGGUGUUGGAUGGAGGGGAGCAUUCAUCAGGGCUCAGAGAUGUUGGAUGGAGGGGAGCAUUCAUCAGGGCUCAGAGGUGUUGGAUGGAGGGGAGCAUUCAUCAGGGCUCAGAGGUGUUGGAUGGAGGGGUGUCUUCAUCAGGGCUCAGAGGUGUUAGAUGGAGGGGAGCAUUCAUCAGGGCUCAGAGGUGUUGGAUGGAGGGGAGCAUUCAUCAGGGAUCAGAGGUGUUGGAUGGAGGGGAGCAUUCAUCAGGGCUCAGAGGUGUUGGAUGGAGGGGAGCAUUCAUCAGGGCUCAGAGGUGUUGGAUGGAGGGGAGCAUUCAUCAGGGCUCAGAGGUGUUGGAUGGAGGGGAGCAUUCAUGGGGGCUCAGAGGUGUUGGACAGGAGAGAGCCUUCAGCAGGGCUCAGAGGUGUUAGAUGGAGGGGAGCAUUCAUUAGGGCUCAGAGGUGUUGGAUGGAGGGGAGCAUUCAUCAGGGCUCAGAGGUGUUGGAUGGAGGGGAGCAUUCAUCAGGGCUCAGAGGUGUUGGAUGGAGGGGUGUCUUCAUCAGGGCUCAGAGGUGUUAGAUGGAGGGGAGCAUUCAUCAGGGCUCAGAGGUGUUGGAUGGAGGGGAGCAUUCAUCAGGGCUCAGAGGUGUUGGAUGGAGGGGAGCAUUCAUCAGGGCUCAGAGAUGUUAGAUGGAGGGGAGCAUUCAUCAGGGCUCAGGGAUGUUAGAUGGAGGGGAGCAUUCAUCAGGGCUCAGAGGUGUUGGAUGGAGGGGAGCAUUCAUCAGGGCUCAGAGGUGUUGGAUGGAGGGGAGCAUUCAUCAGGGCUCAGAGGUGUUGAACAGGAGAGAGCAUUCAUCAGGGCUCAGAGGUGUUGGAUGGAGGGGAGCAUUCAUCAGGGCUCAGAGGUGUUGGAUGGAGGGGAGCAUUCAUCAGGGCUCAGAGAUGUUAGAUGGAGGGGAGCAUUCAUCAGGGCUCAGGGAUGUUAGAUGGAGGGGAGCAUUCAUCAGGGCUCAGAGGUGUUGGAUGGAGGGGAGCAUUCAUCAGGGCUCAGAGGUGUUGGAUGGAGGGGAGCAUUCAUCAGGGCUCAGAGGUGUUGGAUGGAGGGGAGCAUUCAUCAGGGCUCAGAGGUGUUGGAUGGAGGGGAGCAUUCAUCAGGGCUCAGAGGUGUUGGAUGGAGGGGAGCAUUCAUCAGGGCUCAGAGGUGUUGGAUGGAGGGGAGCAUUCAUCAGGGC